This 2905-nucleotide ribosomal RNA is filed under the name Escherichia coli. RNAcentral describes it as "23S ribosomal RNA". It matches the Rfam family "Bacterial large subunit ribosomal RNA". Lineage: Bacteria; Pseudomonadati; Pseudomonadota; Gammaproteobacteria; Enterobacterales; Enterobacteriaceae. The record is from RNAcentral.
GGUUAAGCGACUAAGCGUACACGGUGGAUGCCCUGGCAGUCAGAGGCGAUGAAGGACGUGCUAAUCUGCGAUAAGCGUCGGUGAGGUGAUAUGAACCGUUAUAACCGGCGAUUUCCGAAUGGGGAAACCCAGUGUGUUUCGACACACUAUCAUUAACUGAAUCCAUAGGUUAAUGAGGCGAACCGGGGGAACUGAAACAUCUAAGUACCCCGAGGAAAAGAAAUCAACCGAGAUUCCCCCAGUAGCGGCGAGCGAACGGGGAGGAGCCCAGAGCCUGAAUCAGUGUGUGUGUUAGUGGAAGCGUCUGGAAAGGCGUGCGAUACAGGGUGACAGCCCCGUACACAAAAAUGCACAUAUUGUGAGCUCGAUGAGUAGGGCGGGACACGUGGUAUCCUGUCUGAAUAUGGGGGGACCAUCCUCCAAGGCUAAAUACUCCUGACUGACCGAUAGUGAACCAGUACCGUGAGGGAAAGGCGAAAAGAACCCCGGCGAGGGGAGUGAAAAAGAACCUGAAACCGUGUACGUACAAGCAGUGGGAGCCUCUUAAUGGGGUGACUGCGUACCUUUUGUAUAAUGGGUCAGCGACUUAUAUUCUGUAGCAAGGUUAACCGAAUAGGGGAGCCGAAGGGAAACCGAGUCUUAACUGGGCGUUAAGUUGCAGGGUAUAGACCCGAAACCCGGUGAUCUAGCCAUGGGCAGGUUGAAGGUUGGGUAACACUAACUGGAGGACCGAACCGACUAAUGUUGAAAAAUUAGCGGAUGACUUGUGGCUGGGGGUGAAAGGCCAAUCAAACCGGGAGAUAGCUGGUUCUCCCCGAAAGCUAUUUAGGUAGCGCCUCGUGAAUUCAUCUCCGGGGGUAGAGCACUGUUUCGGCAAGGGGGUCAUCCCGACUUACCAACCCGAUGCAAACUGCGAAUACCGGAGAAUGUUAUCACGGGAGACACACGGCGGGUGCUAACGUCCGUCGUGAAGAGGGAAACAACCCAGACCGCCAGCUAAGGUCCCAAAGUCAUGGUUAAGUGGGAAACGAUGUGGGAAGGCCCAGACAGCCAGGAUGUUGGCUUAGAAGCAGCCAUCAUUUAAAGAAAGCGUAAUAGCUCACUGGUCGAGUCGGCCUGCGCGGAAGAUGUAACGGGGCUAAACCAUGCACCGAAGCUGCGGCAGCGACGCUUAUGCGUUGUUGGGUAGGGGAGCGUUCUGUAAGCCUGUGAAGGUGUGCUGUGAGGCAUGCUGGAGGUAUCAGAAGUGCGAAUGCUGACAUAAGUAACGAUAAAGCGGGUGAAAAGCCCGCUCGCCGGAAGACCAAGGGUUCCUGUCCAACGUUAAUCGGGGCAGGGUGAGUCGACCCCUAAGGCGAGGCCGAAAGGCGUAGUCGAUGGGAAACAGGUUAAUAUUCCUGUACUUGGUGUUACUGCGAAGGGGGGACGGAGAAGGCUAUGUUGGCCGGGCGACGGUUGUCCCGGUUUAAGCGUGUAGGCUGGUUUUCCAGGCAAAUCCGGAAAACCAAGGCUGAGGCGUGAUGACGAGGCACUACGGUGCUGAAGCGACAAAUGCCCUGCUUCCAGGAAAAGCCUCUAAGCAUCAGGUAACAUCAAAUCGUACCCCAAACCGACACAGGUGGUCAGGUAGAGAAUACCAAGGCGCUUGAGAGAACUCGGGUGAAGGAACUAGGCAAAAUGGUGCCGUAACUUCGGGAGAAGGCACGCUGAUAUGUAGGUGAAGCGACUUGCUCGUGGAGCUGAAAUCAGUCGAAGAUACCAGCUGGCUGCAACUGUUUAUUAAAAACACAGCACUGUGCAAACACGAAAGUGGACGUAUACGGUGUGACGCCUGCCCGGUGCCGGAAGGUUAAUUGAUGGGGUUAGCGGCAACGCGAAGCUCUUGAUCGAAGCCCCGGUAAACGGCGGCCGUAACUAUAACGGUCCUAAGGUAGCGAAAUUCCUUGUCGGGUAAGUUCCGACCUGCACGAAUGGCGUAAUGAUGGCCAGGCUGUCUCCACCCGAGACUCAGUGAAAUUGAACUCGCUGUGAAGAUGCAGUGUACCCGCGGCAAGACGGAAAGACCCCGUGAACCUUUACUAUAGCUUGACACUGAACAUUGAGCCUUGAUGUGUAGGAUAGGUGGGAGGCUUUGAAGUGUGGACGCCAGUCUGCAUGGAGCCGACCUUGAAAUACCACCCUUUAAUGUUUGAUGUUCUAACGUGGGCCCCUAAUCGGGGUUGCGGACAGUGUCUGGUGGGUAGUUUGACUGGGGCGGUCUCCUCCUAAAGAGUAACGGAGGAGCACGAAGGUUGGCUAAUCCUGGUCGGACAUCAGGAGGUUAGUGCAAUGGCAUAAGCCAGCUUGACUGCGAGCGUGACGGCGCGAGCAGGUGCGAAAGCAGGUCAUAGUGAUCCGGUGGUUCUGAAUGGAAGGGCCAUCGCUCAACGGAUAAAAGGUACUCCGGGGAUAACAGGCUGAUACCGCCCAAGAGUUCAUAUCGACGGCGGUGUUUGGCACCUCGAUGUCGGCUCAUCACAUCCUGGGGCUGAAGUAGGUCCCAAGGGUAUGGCUGUUCGCCAUUUAAAGUGGUACGCGAGCUGGGUUUAGAACGUCGUGAGACAGUUCGGUCCCUAUCUGCCGUGGGCGCUGGAGAACUGAGGGGGGCUGCUCCUAGUACGAGAGGACCGGAGUGGACGCAUCACUGGUGUUCGGGUUGUCAUGCCAAUGGCACUGCCCGGUAGCUAAAUGCGGAAGAGAUAAGUGCUGAAAGCAUCUAAGCACGAAACUUGCCCCGAGAUGAGUUCUCCCUGACUCCUUGAGAGUCCUGAAGGAACGUUGAAGACGACGACGUUGAUAGGCCGGGUGUGUAAGCGCAGCGAUGCGUUGAGCUAACCGGUACUAAUGAACCGUGAGGCUUAACCUU